UGUGCGCGAGUCACGGGGUUCUACGAAACCUAAGGGCGCAAUGAAGGUGAAGGCUCUCGUAGGAGUGCCGAGGUGGGAAGCCGUCCCCCCGGGGCGGCGGCACCACCGGCCCGUCCCGAUCGCUCGUCGAUGGGGCGGAGCAAGAGCGUACACGUUGGGACCCGAAAGGCGGUGAGCUAUGCGUGAGCAGGACGAAGUCAGAGGAAACUCUGAUGGAAGUCCGUAGCGAUUCUGACGUGCAAAUCGAUCGUCAAACU
RNAcentral lists this ribosomal RNA (257 nucleotides) under Owenia sp. MC-2010. RNAcentral describes it as "partial 28S ribosomal RNA". It matches the Rfam family "Eukaryotic large subunit ribosomal RNA", at positions 681 to 911 of the family's 3401-position model. The record is from RNAcentral. Lineage: Eukaryota; Metazoa; Annelida; Polychaeta; Sabellida; Oweniidae.